CCGUGGAAGCGGGAGGGAUGUGGUGCUUCAGUGAGGAAAUAAACGCGGGGCGUUUGGUCCCGAGGGGAAGGUGGGCUCGCCGCGGUCCCAGCCGUGGGCUUGCGUCCUCCUGAGAGCCCCACAGGCUGGCUGGGGACACUUGUCGUAUUGUGGGGAUUGUUGCCCUUCAUCCUAGGAGGGAGAGGUUGGAAUAAGAUCGUAGAAUUGGUAAGGUUGGAAAAGGCCUCUAAAGUCAUCCAGUCCAACCGUUAAUCCAGCACAGCCGUGUUCACUGUUAAACCAUAUUCCCAAAUGUCACAUUCACACACUUUUUGAACGCUUCCAAGGACAGUGAUUCCACUGCUUCCCUGGGCAGCCCGUUCCAAUGCCUGACAGCCCUUUCAGUGAAGAAAUUUUUCUUGAUAUCCAAUCUUAAUCUCCCCUUUUAACUUGAGGCCAUGUCCUGUCAUUCUGUCACUGAUCGCCUGGGAGAAAAGUCCAGCACCCACCUGGCUACAACCUCCUUUCACGUAGUUAUAGGGAGUGACAGGGUCACCUUGGAGCCUCCUUUUUUCUCCAGGCUUAACAACCCUAGCUCCCUCAGCCACUUUUCAUAGGAUUUGUGCUCUGCUCCCUUCAGCAGCUUCAUUUGCCCUUCUCUGGACACGAUCCAGCACCUCCAUGUCUUUCUUUCAGUGGGUGGCCCAGAACUUAACACAGUACUCAAGGUGUGGCCUCACCAGUGCCAAGUACAGAGGGACAAUCAUUGCCCUAGUCCUGCUGGCCACACUAUUCCUGAUACGAGCCAGGACGCCUCUGACCUUUUUGGCUACCUGGACACCAUGUCGGCUCAUGUUCAACUGGCUGUCAACCAACACCUCCAGACUUCCAAGUUUGACCUGUGAUUCUCCCCUGUGCAGACUGCCAUAGGUACAGCAUCACUUCUUUAUUAUCAGGUGCCCAAAAUGGAUUUUUCCUCUUGAGAUGUUGAGUCAUCACUGGAGAAACAGUUACCUCUGAGGAAAGAUUAAUGGCAGUUUUAUUUUCCCAAGAUGAUUCAGAGCAGAGAUGAGCUAUGAACUGGUUAAAUAAGUGGUGUUAAGCCACAGAUGUCAAGACACCAGUGAUAUAGAAUUAUGUAGUGCAAUAUUAGAAAAUACUUUAGGAGCUGAAGUUAGAUUUGGAAUAGAAUUGGGAUUUUCACUGCUCUAAAUUUUUGUUUUAAUUUUGGUGUGUGCAUAUUAUCAUGCCGUGUUUCAUUGCUUUACUAUGUUCUGUGUUAUCUCCAGGGAAUAUUUGUAAAAGACUAUGAAACAAUUCACCAAACUUCAAGUGAUGGAGAGAAUCAAACAACACCAAUGAAAAUUUGCAGAUUUGGUAUCAAUAGGGGUACAAGCUUUAUUAUUUAUUACUACACCAAAAACAUUGCUUCUGCAUCUCUUGGCAUGUUAGUAACAGUCCUUACUUUAAGAAUGCCAGGAAUGUUAUUCAUUAGUCCUAUGUUUGAAUAAUGUAGAUAAAGUCAGUCUGACAGAGUUCAUAUAGGAGAGAUUCCAUCCAUGCAAGUUUUUAUUUAAUAAAUUAAGACUGGUCCUGGCUAUACCAUCAGGGACUGAAAUUGCAGCCGGCAACACGAGAUACUAUGCAACACAAAAACUGGACUUUGCCUUCAUUGGGGAUUUAUGUGGUAUACAUUAGACAAAACAAUCAUCUGGAGGUAGUUCAUUUUUUCCCCUCUCCUUUUGAUUUUUUAGAGUUACUUUCUAACCUUUUUGUCAAUUUGUAAGAGAAGUGCCUUAAAAUACAGCCUGCCUUGUGGUAAAGUUUGUGAAUAUUUUUGCUCUUUCUAAACAGUUGCUUUAUAGUGAGCAAAACAUGCAGAAUGAUAGUCCUUAAAAACAGUAGUCUUGUCCUAAUCCUUUAUCUCAUCCUUUGCUGGUUUAUGCAGUUAUAGCACAAAAAUGUCAGAUUGGAAAGGGUCAAUCCUUUGAUCCUGUUCAGUUUGUAGAAAGAUCAGGGUUACAGAUUUUUCCCAACUGCAGCAAUGUGGCUACCUGUCAUCCAGCAAUUAUAUAGAGAUUCAGCUUGUUUAACAUACACUGCUGAGCAACCAUCAAAGGUUAACCAUUUUCCAGCAUACUAAUCUAGCUGGAUGCAAACCAACUACUUAAUGAAAAAUGCUCUGUAUCCUGUUACUGUUUUUCUGAGUGAUGCAGUCCAACUCACCCUACUUUAAAAAUUGUUCUUGGCAUUGACCUGUGCCAGUACACUUGU
Corapipo altera (White-ruffed manakin) is the source of this 2253-nucleotide long non-coding RNA. RefSeq lists it as uncharacterized. NCBI's taxonomy places the organism in Eukaryota, Metazoa, Chordata, Aves, Passeriformes, Pipridae. The record is from RefSeq and is a predicted model, not a curated record. The transcript is spliced from 3 exons.